This 184-nucleotide ribosomal RNA is filed under the name uncultured bacterium. RNAcentral describes it as "partial 16S ribosomal RNA". It matches the Rfam family "Bacterial small subunit ribosomal RNA", at positions 1317 to 1500 of the family's 1533-position model. The record is from RNAcentral.
UGCAUGAAGCCGGAAUUGCUAGUAAUGGCAGGUCAGCAUACUGCCGUGAAUACGUUCCCGGGCCUUGUACACACCGCCCGUCACACCAUGAGAGUUGGGGAUACCCAAAGCCCGUGAGCCAACUGUAAAGAGGCAGCGGUCUAAGGUAGAAUCAAUGAUUGGGGUGAAGUCGUAACAAGGUAGC